CCGCCCAUUAAAGCUGAGACUAUGCGUUUUCCCCCAGGGGACCCUGUCAGUGGCUGCAGAUAGCAAACAGCCUCCUUAGUCAUGUAGCAACCUGUGGCCUGUGUGGCUGUUCUAAGGGACCUUGGAGAUGGUU
This is a small nucleolar RNA of Suncus etruscus (white-toothed pygmy shrew), 133 nucleotides long. RefSeq annotates it as small nucleolar RNA SNORA70. The record is from RefSeq and is a predicted model, not a curated record. Lineage: Eukaryota; Metazoa; Chordata; Mammalia; Eulipotyphla; Soricidae. The transcript has a single exon.